RNAcentral lists this ribosomal RNA (253 nucleotides) under uncultured bacterium. RNAcentral describes it as "partial 16S ribosomal RNA". It matches the Rfam family "Bacterial small subunit ribosomal RNA", at positions 524 to 776 of the family's 1533-position model. The record is from RNAcentral.
UACGGAGGGGGCGAGCGUUAUUCGGAAUUAUUGGGCGUAAAGGGCGCGUAGGCGGCUGGGCAAGUCAAAGGUGAAAUCCCUCGGCUCAACUGAGGAACUGCCUUUGAAACUGCCUGGCUUGAGGCCGGGAGGGGGUAGCGGAAUUCCCAGUGUAGCGGUGAAAUGCGUAGAUAUUGGGAGGAACACCAGUGGCGAAGGCGGCUACCUGGACCGGUUCUGACGCUGAUGCGCGAAAGCGUGGGUAGCGAACAGG